Molecule: unclassified non-coding RNA, 520 nt
Filed under: uncultured Glomus
Lineage: Eukaryota; Fungi; Glomeromycota; Glomeromycetes; Glomerales; Glomeraceae
Description: SSU rRNA
Rfam family: Eukaryotic small subunit ribosomal RNA
Source: RNAcentral
AGCAGCCGCGGUAAUUCCAGCUCCAAUAGCGUAUAUUAAAGUUGUUGCAGUUAAAAAGCUCGUAGUUGAAUUUCGGGAUCAAUAUGUCGGUCGUGCCUUGGUACGUACUGGUAUCAUUGGUCUCUCCUUUCUGACGAACCAUGAUGUCAUUAAUUUGGUGUUAUGGGAAGUUAGGACUGUUACUUUGAAAAAUUAGAGUGUUUAAAGCAGGCUUUAGCUUGAAUACAUUAGCAUGGAAUAAUGAAAUAGGACGUUCGAACCUAUUUUGUUGGUUUCUAGGAUCAACGUAAUGAUUAAUAGGGAUAGUUGGGGGCAUUAGUAUUCAAUUGUCAGAGGUGAAAUUCUUGGAUUUAUUGAAAGACUAACUACUGCGAAAGCAUUUGCCAAGGAUGUUUUCAUUAAUCAAGAACGAAAGUUAGGGGAUCGAAGACGAUCAGAUACCGUCGUAGUCUUAACCAUAAACUAUGCCGACUAGGGAUCGGAUGAUGUUAAUUUUUAAUGACUCAUUCGGCGCCUUAAC